GGCAGACGGGUGAGUAACGCGUGGGAACGUGCCCUUCGGUUCGGAAUAACUCAGGGAAACUUGAGCUAAUACCGGAUACGUGCGAGAGCAGAAAGAUUUAUCGCCGAAGGAUCGGCCCGCGUCCGAUUAGCUAGUUGGUGAGGUAAUGGCUCACCAAGGCGACGAUCGGUAGCUGGUCUGAGAGGAUGAUCAGCCACACUGGGACUGAGACACGGCCCAGACUCCUACGGGAGGCAGCAGUGGGGAAUAUUGGACAAUGGGCGAAAGCCUGAUCCAGCCAUGCCGCGUGAGUGAUGAAGGCCCUAGGGUUGUAAAGCUCUUUCGCCAGGGACGAUAAUGACGGUACCUGGAUAAGAAGCCCCGGCUAACUUCGUGCCAGCAGCCGCGGUAAUACGAAGGGGGCUAGCGUUGUUCGGAUUUACUGGGCGUAAAGCGCACGUAGGCGGAUCUUUAAGUCAGGGGUGAAAUCCCGGGGCUCAACCUCGGAACUGCCUUUGAUACUGGAGGUCUCGAGUCCGGGAGAGGUGAGUGGAACUGC
This 538-nucleotide ribosomal RNA is filed under the name uncultured Methylocystis sp. RNAcentral describes it as "bacterial SSU rRNA". It matches the Rfam family "Bacterial small subunit ribosomal RNA", at positions 97 to 670 of the family's 1533-position model. Lineage: Bacteria; Pseudomonadati; Pseudomonadota; Alphaproteobacteria; Hyphomicrobiales; Methylocystaceae. The record is from RNAcentral.